UUGAACGCUGGCGGUAUGCUUUACACAUGCAAGUCGAACGGGCUAGGGGGCUUGCUCCCGAGUUAGUGGCGAACGGGUGAGUAACAUAUCGGAACAUGUCCGGAAGUGGGGGAUAACGUACCGAAAGGUACGCUAAUACCGCAUAUGCCCUGAGGGGGAAAGGGGGGGGAUCGCAAGACCUCUCGCUUUCGGAGUGGCCGAUAUCGGAUUAGCUAGAUGGUGAGGUAAAGGCUCACCAUGGCGACGAUCCGUAGCUGGUGUGAGAGGACGACCAGCCACACUGGAACUGAGACACGGUCCAGACUCCUACGGGAGGCAGCAGUGGGGAAUUUUGGACAAUGGGCGAAAGCCUGAUCCAGCCAUACCGCGUGAGUGAAGAAGGCCUUCGGGUUGUAAAGCUCUUUCAGCCGGAAAGAAAAGGACUUGGAUAACACCUGAGUCUGAUGACGGUACCGGAAGAAGAAGCACCGGCUAACUACGUGCCAGCAGCCGCGGUAAUACGUAGGGUGCGAGCGUUAAUCGGAAUUACUGGGCGUAAAGCGUGCGCAGGCGGCUUUUUAAGCCAGAUGUGAAAUCCCCGGGCUUAACCUGGGAACUGCAUUUGGAACUGGAAGACUAGAGUAUAGCAGAGGGAGGUAGAAUUCCACGUGUAGCAGUGAAAUGCGUAGAUAUGUGGAGGAAUACCGAUGGCGAAGGCAGCCUCCUGGGUUAAUACUGACGCUCAUGCAAGAAAGCGUGGGGAGCAAACAGGAUUAGAUACCCUGGUAGUCCACCCCCUAAACGAUGUCAACUAGGUGGUGGGGGAGGAGACUUCCUUAGUACCGUAGCUAACGCGUGAAGUGACC
Molecule: ribosomal RNA, 845 nt
Filed under: uncultured bacterium
Lineage: Bacteria
Description: bacterial SSU rRNA
Rfam family: Bacterial small subunit ribosomal RNA
Source: RNAcentral